Molecule: ribosomal RNA, 399 nt
Filed under: uncultured bacterium
Lineage: Bacteria
Description: bacterial SSU rRNA
Rfam family: Bacterial small subunit ribosomal RNA
Source: RNAcentral
UAUUGCACAAUGGGGGAAACCCUGAUGCAGCGACGCCGCGUGAGCGAAGAAGUAUUUCGGUAUGUAAAGCUCUAUCAGCAGGGAAGAAAAAAUGACGGUACCUGACUAAGAAGCACCGGCGAACUACGUGACAGCAGCCGCGGUAAUACGUAGGUGGCAAGCGUUAUCCGGAUUUACUGGGUGUAAAGGGAGCGUAGACGGCAGAGCAAGUCUGAAGUGAAAGCCCGCGGCCCAACUGCGGGACUGGUUUGGAAACUGCCCGGCUAGAGUGCUGGAGAGGUAAGCGGAAUUCCUAGUGUAGCGGUGAAAUGCGUAGAUAUUAGGAGGAACACCAGUGGCGAAGGCGGCUUACUGGACUGUAACUGACGUUGAGGCUCGAAAGCGUGGGGAGCAAACAGG